AUUGAACGCUGGCGGCAGGCCUAACACAUGCAAGUCGAGCGGAUGAAGGGAGCUUGCUCCUGGAUUCAGCGGCGGACGGGUGAGUAAUGCCUAGGAAUCUGCCUGGUAGUGGGGGAUAACGUCCGGAAACGGGCGCUAAUACCGCAUACGUCCUGAGGGAGAAAGUGGGGGAUCUUCGGACCUCACGCUAUCAGAUGAGCCUAGGUCGGAUUAGCUAGUUGGUGGGGUAAAGGCCUACCAAGGCGACGAUCCGUAACUGGUCUGAGAGGAUGAUCAGUCACACUGGAACUGAGACACGGUCCAGACUACUACGGGAGGCAGCAGUGGGGAAUAUUGGACAAGGGGCGAAAGCCUGAUCCAGCCAUGCCGCGUGGGUGAAGAAGGUCUUCGGAUUGUAAAGCUCUUUAAGUUGGGAGGAAGGGCAGUAAGUUAAUACCGUGAUGUUUUGACGGUACCAACAGAAUAAGCACCGGCUAACUUCGUG
RNAcentral lists this ribosomal RNA (484 nucleotides) under uncultured bacterium. RNAcentral's name for it is "partial 16S ribosomal RNA". It matches the Rfam family "Bacterial small subunit ribosomal RNA", at positions 30 to 507 of the family's 1533-position model. The record is from RNAcentral.